RNAcentral lists this ribosomal RNA (154 nucleotides) under uncultured bacterium. Its description in RNAcentral is "partial 16S ribosomal RNA". It matches the Rfam family "Bacterial small subunit ribosomal RNA", at positions 1345 to 1500 of the family's 1533-position model. The record is from RNAcentral.
CAGGUCAGCAUACUGCCGUGAAUACGUUCCCGGGCCUUGUACACACCGCCCGUCACACCAUGAGAGUUGGGAAUACCCGAAGCCUGUGAGCUAACGUAAGAGGCAGCAGUCGAAGGUAGAAUCAAUGAUUGGGGUGAAGUCGUAACAAGGUAGC